RNAcentral lists this ribosomal RNA (485 nucleotides) under uncultured bacterium. RNAcentral describes it as "partial 16S ribosomal RNA". It matches the Rfam family "Bacterial small subunit ribosomal RNA", at positions 27 to 507 of the family's 1533-position model. The record is from RNAcentral.
GAUUGAACGCUGGCGGCAUGCCUUACACCUGCAAGUCGAACGGCAGCGCGGACUUCGGUCUGGCGGCGAGUGGCGAACGGGUGAGUAAUACAUCGGAACGUACCCUGUUGUGGGGGAUAACUAGUCGAAAGAUUAGCUAAUACCGCAUACGACCUGAGGGUGAAAGUGGGGGAUCGCAAGGCCUCACGCAGCAGGAGCGGCCGAUGUCUGAUUAGCUAGUUGGUGGGGUAAAGGCCCACCAAGGCGACGAUCAGUAGCUGGUCUGAGAGGACGAUCAGCCACACUGGGACUGAGACACGGCCCAGACUCCUACGGGAGGCAGCAGUGGGGAAUUUUGGACAAUGGGGGCAACCCUGAUCCAGCAAUGCCGCGUGUGUGAAGAAGGCCUUCGGGUUGUAAAGCACUUUUGUCCGGAAAGAAAUCGCGCUGGUUAAUACCUGGCGUGGAUGACGGUACCGGAAGAAUAAGCACCGGCUAACUACGUG